CUGCACUUCCUCCACGGACUUUAAAAAAGAGUCCCGCCCCUAAGCUGCCGUCUCGAGCCUCUCUCGCGGCCUCCCUAGCUCUCCUUGGCUUUGCCGAGCCAGUCCUCCCGCCUGGCGCUAGGGCGGAGAGCGGAAUCUGGGCGUCGGGCUUAUUCCGCGAUUGAUCUGCGUUGGGGAACGGGGGAAGACAGAGGGGCGGAAGGAGAUCGUUUCUGGUCUCAUUACGCCUUUUAAAGACAGCCUCUUGAAUGAUGUGAACAGUGAUGGCUUUCUCUGAGAGUAAGACAAGAAAGCUUUGUAAAUGGCGUUGAAUUUCCUGCUCUUGGCAGGCCCUGCUCAGCACAGAAGAAAAGACUGAUCAAGUUGUCCAAGAUGGAGCCCUUUAUCCACGUUAGUCCACUUAUCUCUUUAAGAUUAAAGGAAAGCAAUCAUUAAAAAUACAGAUCCAGUAAUUAUUAAUACAGCAUCCUCUUUUUUAAACACCUCAUUUUAAGAAUGAUGAUAUUCUUAGGAAAUGGGCUGGGGGAUUAUGUAGGUUUUCUCUGUUUACUUUGCAGAAUUUUUUGUUUGUU
Molecule: long non-coding RNA, 572 nt
Filed under: Homo sapiens (human)
Lineage: Eukaryota; Metazoa; Chordata; Mammalia; Primates; Hominidae
Description: HSALNT0073989
Source: RNAcentral